AAGGUUAGAGACUACAUGAGACUUUGACAGAUGGCGGGAAACAUUAAUCCACUGGAGCUGUGCGGCGCAAUUUUCCGCAACAAUCCAAUAAUGAAACUGAAAUUGUGGUGAAGGAGUGGUUAAGGUAUGCGAAAGACAGAGAUGGUGGCAAAAAGAAACAACAGGAGGAUAUACAAGAUGAUAGUGAUGAUUGAUUUUAGUUUCGCCUUCUACAGAUCCAUCUGUCCGUCCGUCCAUUCCUCACAAACUUGUCCAGACAACUCCUCAGAUUUCUUCAAAACCACAGGAAUGAUCAGUACCAGACCUAGUUGUGCAUAUUGUCAGGAUUUUACGGUUCAGUGAUUUUUGGUGAAGCUAUGGCCUUUUAAAGAUUUUAUAAAUAAGCUAUACCAUCCUAUUGUUUUUGGUUUAGAAUAUGUGUAAAUUGAUACAAGUGCCAUUUAAUUAGCACCAGGAAAUCCAAUCAUAUGUCUUGUAUACAAGUUUAUAGAAUUAUCAAACUGAAUUUAUCCUACCAGAAUAGCCUACAAGUGCUUUAACACUUUAGUAUUUGCAGUAAGAUUCUUAUGUGGUUCCCUUUAGAUUAGUACUUUUUAGGAAAUAUGUUUGCUAAAUGUAAUAAAGGAAUAAGUUCUCUUCCUAUGUCAGUAUUGAAAUUGCUAUAUGUUUUUAGCUCACCUGUGACGAAGUGACAUGGUGAGCUUAUGUGACCGUGUGAUGUCCGGCGUCCGUAUGUGCGUGUGUGCGUGCGUCCGUCAACAAUUUGUUUGUGUAGACAGUAGAGGUCACAGUUUUCAUCCAAUCUUUAUGAAAUUUGGUCAAAAUGUUUAUCUUGAUAAAAUCUGGCUUGGGAUUGUAUUUUGGUCAUCCGGGGUAAAAAACUAGGUCAAAAACUAGGUCACAUAAUAG
Molecule: long non-coding RNA, 909 nt
Organism: Dreissena polymorpha
Lineage: Eukaryota; Metazoa; Mollusca; Bivalvia; Myida; Dreissenidae
Exons: 2
Source: RefSeq, a predicted model, not a curated record